AGAGUUGUGAGCUUGGAGUUCUCCGUAUACAGACGGUUAUACAACAUAUGGGGGGGAAGGUCUGAGAUGUCACGUAUUUAUACCGAAUGGUACACUCAUGAAAUGGGUGAAUCACGAACCAGAAACGCUUGCAUCAAUAAAUCUUUCUUGCAAAUGAAAUUAUCGUGAUAGACAAGCACUACGAGUCAAAUCUCCAAGAAUGAUGAAACAUUCAACUCAAUUCAGACUAUUACAUAACCCU
Babesia microti strain RI is the source of this 241-nucleotide non-coding RNA. It matches the Rfam family "Nuclear RNase P". Rfam says of the family: Ribonuclease P (RNase P) is a ubiquitous endoribonuclease, found in archaea, bacteria and eukarya as well as chloroplasts and mitochondria. Its best characterised activity is the generation of mature 5'-ends of tRNAs by cleaving the 5'-leader elements of precursor-tRNAs. Cellular RNase Ps are ribonucleoproteins. The record is from Rfam. Lineage: Eukaryota; Apicomplexa; Aconoidasida; Piroplasmida; Babesiidae.